CACCUUGGCUGUGAAACGGGGUGUGUGUGGAGGGGUGGUGGGGAGGGGGCAGCCUGCGGGCGGGGACGUGGAGACGCGCAGGCUGGGGGCGGCGCAGGCGGGCUGAGGGGUCCUGGGCUCGCCAGGGCCUCGUCUGGGGUUAUGACUCCCGCGGGAAGCACGACUGCUUCGGAGAGUUCUCCACCGCCUUCGAGGAGAUGCAGAAAGCCUUUGGGGAGAACCAGUGGGACUGUGUGAACCCCAAGUACAAGCAGAAGAGGCGCAGUUACAGGAACUCGGGCGUGGCCUUGCUGGCAGACCCGAAGGUGGCUGUUGACUUCACCCUCGGAACAGCUGCUCCCUUCACUAUAUCAACUCCUUCCAGCCCAGCGAGUACCUGCAGGCCCUGGUGGCCGUGGGCGAGAUCUGCCAGGACUAUGACAGCGACAAGAGGCUCUCUGCUUUGGGGUUUGGAGCCCAGAUCCCUCCCAAGGAUGAGGUGUCCCAUGACUUUGCCAUCAAUUUCAACCCGGAGGACGGCAUCCAGGGCAUGGUGGAGGCGUCCCAGAACUGCCUGCCCAGGGUCCAGCUGUAUGGCCACCACGUGGCUCCCAUCAUCUCCAAGGUGGCCUGCACGGCUGCAGCUGAGGAACGCAGCGGAGAGGCUUCUGUAGGCGGUGGGCGGGCACUGCGGGGACCGCGUGCCUUAGAAGGUGUGCCUGCUGCUGGGGAGGUGGGACCGGAUGGGGGUUUGCAGAGGUUGACAGAGCAGCCCGCGGGAGGCCCUGAGGCAGGGAGCGAGAGGCAGCUGGGUGGCAGUGGGGCUAAGAGACCAGGAGGCCCCAGAGCCAGUGGGGUAAGGUGAAUUCUUGCCCUGGAGGCUGACUUGCCGAGCCCGCAGGCAGCCCGAUGCUUAUGGUUCUCUUGGUCCAAUUGUGCAUACGUCGUUAUUUUUUUUUUUUUUUUGUCUUUUUUUUGUUGUUGUUGUUGCUAUUUCUUUGGGCCGCUCCCACAGCAUAUGGAGGUACCCAGGCUAGGGGUUGAAUCGGAGCUGUAGCCACCGGCCUACGCCAGAGCCACAGCAACGCAGGAUGCGAGCUGCAUCUG
RNAcentral lists this long non-coding RNA (1086 nucleotides) under Sus scrofa (pig). RNAcentral's name for it is "lncRNA (ENSSSCG00050030521.1)". The record is from RNAcentral. Lineage: Eukaryota; Metazoa; Chordata; Mammalia; Artiodactyla; Suidae.